AGAGUUUGAUCCUGGCUCAGGACAAACGCUAGCGACGUGCCUAAGAAAUGCAAGUUGAGCGAGAUGAGGGGCUUCGGCUCCAAAGUCUAGCAGCGAACGGUCGCGUAACACGUAAGCAUCCUGCCCCAAAGUUUGGGAUAGCCCUCCGAAAGGGGGAUUAAUACCGGAUGUGGAUACUUCUUCGCCUGUUGAGGUAUCUAAAGCAGCAAUGCGCUUUGGGAUGGGCUUGUGGCCUAUCAGCUAGUUGGUGUGGGUAACGGCUCACCAAGGCGACGACGGGUAGCUGGUCUGAGAGGAUGGUCAGCCGGACUGGGACUGAGACACGGCCCAGACUCCUACGGGGGGCAGCAAUUAGGAAUCUUGCGCAAUGGGCGAAAGCCUGACGCAGCGACGUCGCGUGACUGAUGAAGUCUUUCGGGAUGUAAAGGUCUUUUUUGGGGGAAGAAGGAUGUGACGGUACCCCAAGAAUAAGCCCCGGCUAACUACGUGCCAGCAGCCGCGGUAAUACGUAGGGGGCGAGCGUUGUCCGAAUUCACUGGGCGUAAAGCGCGCGUAGGCGGGUUUUUAAGUUGUGGGUGAAAUCCCGAGGCUCAACCUCGGAACUGCCUGCAAAACUGGGGACCUUGAGGUAUGGAGAGGGAAGUGGAAUUCCAGGUGUAGCGGUGAUAUGCGUAGAUAUCUGGAGGAACACCCGUGGCGAAGGCGGCUUCCUGGCCAUAUCCUGACGCUGAGGUGCGAAAGCUAGGGGAGCGAACGGGAUUAGAUACCCUGGUAGUCC
This 778-nucleotide ribosomal RNA is filed under the name uncultured bacterium. RNAcentral's name for it is "bacterial SSU rRNA". It matches the Rfam family "Bacterial small subunit ribosomal RNA", at positions 8 to 796 of the family's 1533-position model. The record is from RNAcentral.